Molecule: ribosomal RNA, 217 nt
Filed under: Campeiostachys nutans
Lineage: Eukaryota; Viridiplantae; Streptophyta; Magnoliopsida; Poales; Poaceae
Description: Elymus nutans partial small subunit ribosomal RNA
Rfam family: Eukaryotic small subunit ribosomal RNA (bases 40-217)
Source: RNAcentral
GGGUUAGUAGGUUGGUCAUGCCUCUGGUAUGUACUGGUCUCACUGAUUCCUCCUUCCUGAUGAACCUUAAUGCCAUUAAUUUGGUGUUUUGGGGAAUUUGGACUGUUACUUUUAAAAAAUUAGAGUGUUCAAAGCAGGCUUCAACGCUUGAAUACAUUAGCAUGGAAUAAUGAAAUAGGACUUUGGUUCUAUUUUGUUGGUUUCUAGGAUCGACGUA